UGCCUGGUGAUGAUACCCAUCCUUGCUCCCCACGUCCCCCAGGGACUAUGGGCGACAUCAUGGCUGCCCCCAGGCUGGGCUGGUUGGGCUGAUGCCUGGGGGCUGAGGGCA
This is a small nucleolar RNA of Balaenoptera musculus (blue whale), 111 nucleotides long. Ensembl annotates it as small nucleolar RNA, C/D box 23. Its record names the gene SNORD23. The record is from Ensembl. NCBI's taxonomy places the organism in Eukaryota, Metazoa, Chordata, Mammalia, Artiodactyla, Balaenopteridae.